GGGGGUGUGGCUCAGCUGGCAGAGUGCUUGCCUGACAAAGCCCUGGGUUCAGUUCCCAGCACUUCUU
RNAcentral lists this transfer RNA (67 nucleotides) under Cricetulus griseus (Chinese hamster). It matches the Rfam family "tRNA". Rfam says of the family: Transfer RNA (tRNA) molecules are approximately 80 nucleotides in length. Their secondary structure includes four short double-helical elements and three loops (D, anti-codon, and T loops). Further hydrogen bonds mediate the characteristic L-shaped molecular structure. tRNAs have two regions of fundamental functional importance: the anti-codon, which is responsible for specific mRNA codon recognition, and the 3' end, to which the tRNAs corresponding amino acid is attached (by aminoacyl-tRNA synthetases). tRNAs cope with the degeneracy of the genetic code in two manners: having more than one tRNA (with a specific anti-codon) for a particular amino acid; and 'wobble' base-pairing, i.e. permitting non-standard base-pairing at the 3rd anti-codon position. The record is from Rfam by way of RNAcentral. Lineage: Eukaryota; Metazoa; Chordata; Mammalia; Rodentia; Cricetidae.